Molecule: ribosomal RNA, 515 nt
Filed under: uncultured bacterium
Lineage: Bacteria
Description: partial 16S ribosomal RNA
Rfam family: Bacterial small subunit ribosomal RNA
Source: RNAcentral
GAUGAACGCUGGCGGCGUGCCUAAUACAUGCAAGUCGAGCGAAUGGAUUAAGAGCUUGCUCUUAUGAGGUUAGCGGCGGACGGGUGAGUAACACGUGGGUAACCUGCCCAUAAGUCUGGGAUAACUCCGGGAAACCGGGGCUAAUACCGGAUAACAUUUUGAACCGCAUGGUUCGAAAUUGAAAGGCGGCUUCGGCUGUCACUUAUGGAUGGACCCGCGUCGCAUUAGCUAGUUGGUGAGGUAACGGCUCACCAAGGCAACGAUGCGUAGCCGACCUGAGAGGGUGAUGGGCCACACGGGGACUGAGACACGGCCCAGACUCCUACGGGAGGCAGCAGUAGGGAAUCUUCCGCAAUGGACGAAAAUCUGACGGAGCAACGCCGCGUGAGUGAUGAAGGCUUUCGGGUCGUAAAACUCUGUUGUUAGGGAAGAACAAGUGCUAGUUGAAUAAGCUGGCACCUUGACGGUACCUAACCAGAAAGCCACGGCUAACUACGUGCCAGCAGCCGCCGUAA